GCGGUUGUCGUCUAGCCUGGUUUGGACGUCAGCUUCCCAAGCUGAAGGCCGCGGGUUCAAAUCCCGCCAACCGCA
This 75-nucleotide transfer RNA is filed under the name Nitrososphaerota archaeon. RNAcentral describes it as "tRNA-Gly". It matches the Rfam family "tRNA". From Rfam's summary of the family: Transfer RNA (tRNA) molecules are approximately 80 nucleotides in length. Their secondary structure includes four short double-helical elements and three loops (D, anti-codon, and T loops). Further hydrogen bonds mediate the characteristic L-shaped molecular structure. tRNAs have two regions of fundamental functional importance: the anti-codon, which is responsible for specific mRNA codon recognition, and the 3' end, to which the tRNAs corresponding amino acid is attached (by aminoacyl-tRNA synthetases). tRNAs cope with the degeneracy of the genetic code in two manners: having more than one tRNA (with a specific anti-codon) for a particular amino acid; and 'wobble' base-pairing, i.e. permitting non-standard base-pairing at the 3rd anti-codon position. RNAcentral also lists the same sequence under 1 other name. Lineage: Archaea; Thermoproteati; Nitrososphaerota. The record is from RNAcentral.